RNAcentral lists this ribosomal RNA (301 nucleotides) under uncultured bacterium. Its description in RNAcentral is "bacterial SSU rRNA". It matches the Rfam family "Bacterial small subunit ribosomal RNA", at positions 337 to 655 of the family's 1533-position model. The record is from RNAcentral.
UCCUACGGGAGGCAGCAGUAGGGAAUUUUCGUCAAUGGGCGCAAGCCUGAACGAGCGAUGCCGCGUGAGCGAUGAAGGCCUUCGGGUCGUAAAGCUCUGUCCUCAAGGAAGAUAAUGACGGUACUUGAGGAGGAAGCCCCGGCUAACUACGUGCCAGCAGCCGCGGUAAUACGUAUGGUGCAAGCGUUAUCCGGAUUUACUGGGUGUAAAGGGAGCGCAGGCGGCGCGUUAAGCCUGGUGUGAAAGCCCGCGGCCCAACCGCGGGACUGCAUUGGGAACUGGCGCGCUGGAGUGCCGGAGG